Molecule: RNA transcript, 1898 nt
Organism: Zea mays
Lineage: Eukaryota; Viridiplantae; Streptophyta; Magnoliopsida; Poales; Poaceae
Gene name: protein-like pseudogene
Exons: 1
Source: RefSeq, marked validated
GACACAGAACAAAUCAUAUCUCAUCUGGUAUGUCGAGGAUUUAUGAAGGAUUACACAAUUUGGACAAAGCAUGGAGAGGGUAGCUCUUCGCCUUAUACCACUGGAAACCCUGAGAACAUCGACGACAGAUUUCAGUUCGUUCACGAGACACACCAACCUCUUCCACAGAGCGAACAUGUAGUGCAAAAUGUUACUGAUCAUGGUUACGCUCGAGGAAAUGAACAUGAUAGACCUCAUGUUCUGCCAAGUGUUAUGGAUGAGGAAGAUGCAGAGUUGCUAGAGGCAAUGUUGUGUCGUCAUACAGAUCAAUCGAUGUUCUUAAUGAAAGGUAUGGAGUCCCUGAAGAAGACAGCAGAAGAGCCUUUGUACGACGAGUCUAAGGGUUGUACCAAAGAGUUCACGACGCUCCGGUCUGUGCUAAAGCUGUUGAUGUUAAAAGCUAAAUAUGGUGUGUCUGAUGCUGGCUUCGAUGCGUUCUUGAGUAUUAUCGCAGACAUGCUUCCAAAGGAGAACAAUGUGCCUGCUAACACGUACUAUGCAAAGAAACUAAUCAGUCCGCUCACUAUGGGUGUGGAGAAGAUCCACGCGUGUAGAAAUCACUGUAUCCUUUAUCGAGGUGAUGAUUAUAAAGACUUGGAGAGCUGCCCAAAGUGCGGUGCAAGUAGGUACAAGACGAAUAAAGACUAUCGAGAGGACGAAGAGUGUGUUGCAUCCAUGUCUAAAGGGAAGAAGCGAAAGAAAGCCCAAAAAAAGACUUCAAAAUCCACGAGCAAAGAAAAAGAAGUAGACUAUUAUGCGCUCAAAAAGAUUCCUGCUUUGGUGAUGUGGUACCUCCCCGUCGUUUGCUUUAUAAAACCGCCAGUGGAAAUGCAUUUUCACUGGCGGUUUUCUUUAUUCAGUCGCCAGUGGAAAUGCACUUUUCACUGGCGGUUCCUUAAGAAAACCGCCAGUGAAAAUGCACUUUUCACUGGCGGUUCCAAAAUAACCACCAGUGGAAAUGCUGAUUUCCACUGACCCCUAGCACUGGCGGUACUGAAAAACGCCAGUGUAAAUAUGUUUAGAACCGCCACUAUAGAGCUUCUGUGUACUAGUGUUUAUAACUACCUAAAACCCAAUGGUCUAUUUCCAUUAUUUGUAGACUUCUCGGGGUUCUAUUCGUAAAGAACAUGACCCAUUUGUGGUGAAACUAGAGUUGUAGGGGUCGGUGGGUUGAUUUCAAGAUAGCUCAUGGGUUCCUAAUGAAAAAGGCCAUGGAGGGGGUUGAUUAUAUAUCGGUCGUUAGAUCCCCAAUCGAGGGCCACAAUUAGGUUUGGCUCGUUUUAAAACCGGCACAUAUCGUUGUCCCUUAUAACCGCAAUCCAUAGCACGGACGCCUUCCACGCUCCCAUUGACUCACACCCCUCAGAUCCGAACCUAGCGCCCCUGACUUAAUCAUGAAACGGUACCCCAACUUCUAAUCUAGCACGCCAGCACAAGAUCCAACGGUUAGAAGUUUGUCGUCCUCCUCCUAGCACCGGACUGCAGCGCCCACACGCACAGAACGGCGGCGACAUCGCCGGUGCACCUAGUUCCAUGCUCCGGUCCACUAACUGCUAAAUCGAUGGGUCCUAUGAGAAGAGGAGGAAACCAUGAUUUAUCAGAAGAGGUUCUCACCUCCGGUGAUGAUGUGAAGGCCUCUAACCACGUUGAUGGCAACCCCGUGGCAGCAUAGUGACCACGGCGAGCAAUCCCGAGGACCCCAGCUUCAAAUCACCCCCAGCGAGGUCAUGGGCGCCCUCCGCGCGCCCUGGGCAAUCUCCCUAGCCUAACUCUAAGGCCCCAACGAGGGUGCACAUGAGUCCUACCAUGGCGGCACUCCUACCUCCUCCCCUGCUCCAAGCGCAUGUUCUGUUCGCCAG